RNAcentral lists this ribosomal RNA (928 nucleotides) under uncultured bacterium. Its description in RNAcentral is "bacterial SSU rRNA". It matches the Rfam family "Bacterial small subunit ribosomal RNA", at positions 61 to 984 of the family's 1533-position model. The record is from RNAcentral.
GUCGNNCGGCAGCACGGAGCUUGCUCUGGUGGCGAGUGGCGAACGGGUGAGUAAUGCGUCGGAACGUAUCCAAUAAUGGGGGAUAACGCAGCGAAAGCUGUGCUAAUACCGCAUACGCCCUCCGGGGGAAAGCAGGGGAUCGUAAGACCUUGCGUUAAUGGAGCGGCCGACGUCUGAUUAGCUAGUUGGUAGGGUAAAGGCCUACCAAGGCGACGAUCAGUAGCUGGUCUGAGAGGGUGAUCAGCCACACUGGGACUGAGACACGGCCCAGACUCCUACGGGAGGCAGCAGUGGGGAAUUUUGGACAAUGGGCGCAAGCCUGAUCCAGCCAUUCCGCGUGAGUGAAGAAGGCCUUCGGGUUGUAAAGCUCUUUCAGGAGGGAAGAAACGAUUGUGGCUAAUACCCAUGAUUAAUGACGGUACCUUCAGAAGAAGCACCGGCUAACUACGUGCCAGCAGCCGCGGUAAUACGUAGGGUGCGAGCGUUAAUCGGAAUUACUGGGCGUAAAGCGUGCGCAGGCGGUUUUUCAAGUCUGAUGUGAAAUCCCCGGGCUUAACCUGGGAACUGCGUUGGAAACUGAAAGACUAGAGUGCGGCAGAGGGGGGUAGAAUUCCACGUGUAGCAGUGAAAUGCGUAGAUAUGUGGAGGAAUACCGAUGGCGAAGGCAGCCCCCUGGGUCGACACUGACGCUCAUGCACGAAAGCGUGGGUAGCAAACAGGAUUAGAUACCCUGGUAGUCCACGCCCUAAACGAUGUCAACUAGUUGUUGGGGAGGGAGACCCCCUUAGUAACGCAGCUAACGCGUGAAGUUGACCGCCUGGGGAGUACGGUCGCAAGAUUAAAACUCAAGGAAUUGACGGGGGCCCGCACAAGCGGUGGAUUAUGUGGAUUANUUCGAUGCAACGCGAAAAACCUUANCUACCCNUGA